RNAcentral lists this ribosomal RNA (253 nucleotides) under uncultured prokaryote. RNAcentral describes it as "partial 16S ribosomal RNA". It matches the Rfam family "Bacterial small subunit ribosomal RNA", at positions 525 to 777 of the family's 1533-position model. The record is from RNAcentral.
ACGUAGGGUGCGAGCGUUAAUCGGAAUUACUGGGCGUAAAGUGUGCGCAGGCCGCCGAGCAAGUCGAGUGUGAAAGCCCCGAGCUUAACUUGGGAACUGCGCUCGAAACUACUUGGCUAGAGUGUGGCAGAGGGAGGUGGAAUCCCACGUGUAGCGGUGAAAUGCGUAGAUAUCAAGUGGAACACCAGUGGCGAAGGCGAGUCUCUGGACAUUUCCUGACGCUGAGGCACGAAAGCCAGGGGAGCAAACGGGA